UAUCUCUGUAGAGUCUGCAUAUCAAUAAGCGGAGGAAAAGAAACUAACAAGGAUUCCCUUAGUAACGGCGAGUGAAGCGGGAAGAGCUCAAAUUUGAAAUCUUCAAGGUUCUACCUUGACGAAUUGUAGUUUAAAGAAGUGUUUUCUGUUAGAUGAGUAGCAAAAGUUCCUUGGAAUGGGACAUCAUAGGGGGUGAGAAUCCCGUAUUUGGUUAUUCAUUCUAGCUUUGUGAUACACUUUCAAAGAGUCGGAUUGUUUGGGAAUGCAGUCCAAAAUGGGUGGUAAAUUUCAUCUAAAGCUAAAUAUUGGCGAGAGACCGAUAGCGAACAAGUACCGUGAGGGAAAGAUGAAAAGAACUUUGAAAAGAGAGUUAAACAGUACGUGAAAUUGUCAAAAGGGAAGCGUUUGACACCAGUGUUGUUUUUCCGAAAAUCAAUUACGAAUGGCUUGAUUCUGUGUUGUAUUGACCUUAUCAGCUUUCUUCACUUUUUUCGAGUCCUUCUUAAUGCACUUUUCGGUUAACAAGUCAACAUCAAUUUCUUUUGUUGUAAAAGAGUAUUCGGAAGGUGGCUUUCUUUUCGGAGAAAGUGUUUAUAGCCCUAUACUUCUACAAUCGGAGAGAUUGAGGUCUGCAGCGUAGAUCCUUCGGGGUUAGAUACACUUGUGCUAAGUUGUAGCUUUUCAUAGACAACUUGUUGACUAUGUUUAGUCAUGCGGCUUACUCGCUUAUGCUAUUUUACCUACGCUUAGGAUGUUGAAGAUGUAGCACAUCAU
Molecule: ribosomal RNA, 774 nt
Filed under: uncultured Neocallimastigales
Lineage: Eukaryota; Fungi; Neocallimastigomycota; Neocallimastigomycetes; Neocallimastigales
Description: partial large subunit ribosomal RNA
Rfam family: Eukaryotic large subunit ribosomal RNA
Source: RNAcentral